CCUACGGGUGGCUGCAGUGAGGAAUAUUGGUCCAUGGGCGCGCUCCUGCCCCAGCCCCGCCGCUUGAGUGAAGACGGCCCUAUGGGUUGUAAACCUCUUUUGUCGGAGAACAAAACCCGGGACGUGUCCCGGACUGCGUGUAUCCGAAGAAAAAGCAUCGGCUAACUCCGUGCCAGCAGCCGCGGUAAUACGGAGGAUGCGAGCGUUAUCCGGAUUUAUUGGGUUAAAAGGGUGCGUAGGCGGUCCGUUAAGUCAGCGGUAAAAUUGCGGGGCUCAACCCCGUCGAGCCGUUGAAACUGGCAGACUUGAGUUGGCGAGAAGUACGCGGAAUGCGCGGUGUAGCGGUGAAAUGCAUAGAUAUCGCGCAGAACUCCGAUUGCGAAGGCAGCGUACCGGCGCCAGACUGACGCUGAGGCACGAAAGCGUGGGGAUCGAACAGGAUUAGAUACCCGGGUAGUC
This 459-nucleotide ribosomal RNA is filed under the name uncultured bacterium. RNAcentral's name for it is "partial 16S ribosomal RNA". It matches the Rfam family "Bacterial small subunit ribosomal RNA", at positions 338 to 795 of the family's 1533-position model. The record is from RNAcentral.